This 465-nucleotide ribosomal RNA is filed under the name uncultured bacterium. Its description in RNAcentral is "partial 16S ribosomal RNA". It matches the Rfam family "Bacterial small subunit ribosomal RNA", at positions 28 to 507 of the family's 1533-position model. The record is from RNAcentral.
GACGAACGCUGGCGGCGUGCUUAACACAUGCAAGUCGAACGGAAAGGCCCUGCUUGCAGGGUACUCGAGUGGCGAACGGGUGAGUAACACGUGGGUGAUCUGCCCUGCACUUCGGGAUAAGCCUGGGAAACUGGGUCUAAUACCGGAUAGGAGCCAUUUUUAGUGUGAUGGUUGGAAAGUUUUUUCGGUGUUGGAUGAGCUCGCGGCCUAUCAGCUUGUUGGUGGGGUAAUGGCCUACCAAGGCGGCGACGGGUAGCCGGCCUGAGAGGGUGGACGGCCACCUUGGGACUGAGAUACGGCCCAGACUCCUACGGGAGGCAGCAGUGGGGAAUAUUGCACAAUGGGCGCAAGCCUGAUGCAGCGACGCCGCGUGGGGGAUGACGGCCUUCGGGUUGUAAACUCCUUUCGCUAGGGACGAAGCUUUUUGUGACGGUACCUAGAUAAGAAGCACCGGCUAACUACGUG